Molecule: transfer RNA, 86 nt
Filed under: Pseudobdellovibrionaceae bacterium
Lineage: Bacteria; Pseudomonadati; Bdellovibrionota; Bdellovibrionia; Bdellovibrionales; Pseudobdellovibrionaceae
Also listed under: 1 other name
Description: Bdellovibrionaceae bacterium tRNA-Tyr
Rfam family: tRNA
About the family: Transfer RNA (tRNA) molecules are approximately 80 nucleotides in length. Their secondary structure includes four short double-helical elements and three loops (D, anti-codon, and T loops).
Source: RNAcentral
GGAGAGAUGCCCGAGUGGUUAAAGGGGGCGGUCUGUAAAAUCGCUGGCUUAUGCCUACGUAGGUUCGAAUCCUACUCUCUCCACCA